Non-coding RNA from Clostridium kluyveri DSM 555, 186 nucleotides. It matches the Rfam family "6S / SsrS RNA". From Rfam's summary of the family: E. coli 6S RNA was the first non coding RNA to be sequenced, but its function was unknown until recently. It consists of 184 nucleotides that fold into an extended hairpin structure with a large single-stranded internal bulge. The 6S RNA specifically associates with RNA polymerase holoenzyme containing the sigma70 specificity factor. Lineage: Bacteria; Bacillati; Bacillota; Clostridia; Eubacteriales; Clostridiaceae. The record is from Rfam.
UACAUUCUGAAAUAUACGCAAGCUUUUGUUUUGAACUACAUUAUUUAAACGGAAGUUCAAUAUUUAGAUGGGUACAUGUAUCCUCUACUAGUUCUUAAAUAUGAGGAAGAUGAAUACAUCUGUGAGGACAUCCACCUGUAGUUAUAUAGGUGUCAAAAUAAAGUUUAGCGGUAUUUUGGAUAAGUG